RNAcentral lists this ribosomal RNA (486 nucleotides) under uncultured bacterium. RNAcentral describes it as "bacterial SSU rRNA". It matches the Rfam family "Bacterial small subunit ribosomal RNA", at positions 28 to 507 of the family's 1533-position model. The record is from RNAcentral.
GAUGAACGCUAGCGGCAGGCCUAACACAUGCAAGUCGAGGGGUAACAUAGGAAAGCUUGCUUUUCUGAUGACGACCGGCGCACGGGUGCGUAACGCGUAUACAACCUACCUUUUAGCGGGGAAUAGCCAGGGAAACUUGGAUUAAUGCCCCAUAGUAUAUAGACUUCUCCUGAAGUUUAUAUUAAACAUUUAUGGCUAUUAGAUGGGUAUGCGUCCUAUUAGUUAGUUGGUAAGGUAACGGCUUACCAAGGCAGCGAUAGGUAGGGGUCCUGAGAGGGAGAUCCCCACACUGGUACUGAGACACGGACCAGACUCCUACGGGAGGCAGCAGUGAGGAAUAUUGGACAAUGGGCGAGAGCCUGAUCCAGCCAUGCCGCGUGCAGGAAGACUGCCCUAUGGGUUGUAAACUGCUUUUACAGAGGAAGAACCACCCCCACGUGUGGGGGUUUGACGGUACUCUGCGAAUAAGGAUCGGCUAACUCCGUG